UAAUACAGAGGCCUCAAGCGUUAAUCGGAAUCACUGGGCUUAAAGCGUGCGUAGGCGGACAUGCAAGCAUGUUGUGAAAUCCCAUGGCUCAACCAUGGAACUGCUUCGUGAACUGCAUGUCUUGAGACAAGUAGGGGUGGUCGGAACGAUAGGUGGAGCGGUGAAAUGCGUAGAUAUCUAUCGGAACACCGAAGGAGAAGUCAGGCCACUGGGCUUGUUCUGACGCUGAGGCACGAAAGCGUGGGGAGCAAACGGGAUUAGAUACCCCGGUAGUCCACGCUGUAAACGAUGCGCACUAGAUCGAGGAGGUUUGACACCCCCUUGGUCGAAGCAAAAGUGUUAAGUGCGCCGCCUGGGGAGUACGGUCGCAAGGCUA
Molecule: ribosomal RNA, 376 nt
Filed under: uncultured bacterium
Lineage: Bacteria
Description: bacterial SSU rRNA
Rfam family: Bacterial small subunit ribosomal RNA
Source: RNAcentral